Molecule: ribosomal RNA, 253 nt
Filed under: uncultured bacterium
Lineage: Bacteria
Description: partial 16S ribosomal RNA
Rfam family: Bacterial small subunit ribosomal RNA
Source: RNAcentral
UACGUAGGGUGCAAGCGUUGUCCGGAAUUAUUGGGCGUAAAGAGCUCGUAGGCGGUUUGUCGCGUCGGGAGUGAAAAUCCAGGGCUUAACUCUGGACUGGCUUCCGAUACGGGCAGACUAGAGGUAUGCAGGGGAGAACGGAAUUCCUGGUGUAGCGGUGAAAUGCGCAGAUAUCAGGAGGAACACCGGUGGCGAAGGCGGUUCUCUGGGCAUUACCUGACGCUGAGGAGCGAAAGUGUGGGGAGCGAACAGG